This 552-nucleotide ribosomal RNA is filed under the name uncultured bacterium. RNAcentral's name for it is "partial 16S ribosomal RNA". It matches the Rfam family "Bacterial small subunit ribosomal RNA", at positions 355 to 895 of the family's 1533-position model. The record is from RNAcentral.
UGGGGAAUAUUGCACAAUGGGCGCAAGCCUGAUGCAGCCAUGCCGCGUGUAUGAAGAAGGCCUUCGGGUUGUAAAGUACUUUCAGCGGGGAGGAAGGGGAGUAAAGUUAAUACCUUUGCUCAUUGACGUUACCCGCAGAAGAAGCACCGGCUAACUCCGUGCCAGCAGCCGCGGUAAUACGGAGGGUGCAAGCGUUAAUCGGAAUUACUGGGCGUAAAGCGCACGCAGGCGGUUUGUUAAGUCAGAUGUGAAAUCCCCGGGCUCAACCUGGGAACUGCAUCUGAUACUGGCAAGCUUGAGUCUCGGUAGAGGGGGGUAGAAUUCCAGGUGUAGCGGUGAAAUACGUAGAGAUCUGGAGGAAUACCGGUGGCGAAGGCGGCCCCCUGGACGAAGACUGACGCUCAGGUGCGAAAGCGUGGGGGAGCAAAACAGGAUUAGAUACCCUGGUAGUCCACGCCGUAAACGAUGUCGACUUGGAGGUUGUGCCCUUGAGGCGUGGCUUCCGGAGCUAACGCGUUAAGUCGACCGCCUGGGGAGUACGGCCGCAAGGUU